This 246-nucleotide ribosomal RNA is filed under the name Triticum aestivum (bread wheat). RNAcentral's name for it is "partial small subunit ribosomal RNA". Lineage: Eukaryota; Viridiplantae; Streptophyta; Magnoliopsida; Poales; Poaceae. The record is from RNAcentral.
AUGUUGUCCCACAAUUCUUCAUUUGAAGACCUUCAAGUUCGGUUUGGUCACAGCGGGGAUACUUUCCAUUGGCAAAUGAAGAAUUUCUUUGACAUCAUCCCUAUUCUCUCCAAGCAUUUUUUGAAGCCUCCAAACCCCAGUCAAGUGCAUCCGAAGAUUCAGUCGGACACGAGAUUCUUUCCUUAUUUUCAGGUUUUUUCUUCGCCAACUUUGAUCCACACCGAUAACUUACUCUUCAUGUUAUAG